AGCAGCCACGGUAAUUCCAGCUCCAAUAGCGUAUAUUAAAGUUGUUGCAGUUAAAAAGCUCGUAGUUGAAUUUCGGGGUUCUACCGUUGGUCGGGCUUUGUCUGUACUGGCGUGUAGAAUUUCUACCUUCUGGGGAACCAUCAUGUUAUUUAUUUAACGUGGUGGGAAACCAGGACCUUUACCUUGAAAAAAUUAGAGUGUUCAAAGCAGGCUUAUGUCUGAAUACAUUAGCAUGGAAUAAUAAAAUAGGACGGUGGUCCUGUUUUGUUGGUUUCUGAAUCACCGUAAUGAUCAAUAGGGAUAGUUGGGGGCAUUAGUAUUCAAUUGUCAGAGGUGAAAUUCUUGGAUUUAG
RNAcentral lists this ribosomal RNA (352 nucleotides) under uncultured Racocetra. Its description in RNAcentral is "SSU rRNA". It matches the Rfam family "Eukaryotic small subunit ribosomal RNA", at positions 569 to 929 of the family's 1831-position model. The record is from RNAcentral. Lineage: Eukaryota; Fungi; Glomeromycota; Glomeromycetes; Diversisporales; Gigasporaceae.